Molecule: ribosomal RNA, 253 nt
Filed under: uncultured bacterium
Lineage: Bacteria
Description: partial 16S ribosomal RNA
Rfam family: Bacterial small subunit ribosomal RNA
Source: RNAcentral
UACGUAGGGUGCAAGCGUUGUCCGGAAUUAUUGGGCGUAAAGAGCUCGUAGGCGGUCUGUCGCGUCUGCUGUGAAAACUCAGGGCUUAACCCUGAGCCUGCAGUGGGUACGGGCAGACUAGAGUGCGGUAGGGGAGACUGGAAUUCCUGGUGUAGCGGUGAAAUGCGCAGAUAUCAGGAGGAACACCGGUGGCGAAGGCGGGUCUCUGGGCCGUAACUGACGCUGAGGAGCGAAAGCAUGGGGAGCGAACAGG